GUAACGGCGAGUGAAGCGGUAACAGCUCAAAUUUGAAAUCUGGCUCUUUCAGGGUCCGAGUUGUAAUUUGCAGAAGAUGCUUCGGGUGUGGCUCCGGUCUAAGUUCCUUGGAACAGGACGUCAUAGAGGGUGAGAAUCCCGUAUGUGACCGGCGGCCUUCGCCCGUGUGAAGCUCUUUCGACGAGUCGAGUUGUUUGGGAAUGCAGCUCUAAAUGGGUGGUAUAUUUCAUCUAAAGCUAAAUAUGGGCCAGAGACCGAUAGCGCACAAGUAGAGUGAUCGAAAGAUGAAAAGCACUUUGGAAAGAGAGUUAAACAGUACGUGAAAUUGUUGAAAGGGAAGCGCUUGCAACCAGACUUGUCCCCCGUCGAUCAUCCCCCGUUCUCGGAGGUGUACUCGGCGGGGUUCAGGCCAGCAUCGGUUUCGGUGGUGGGAUAAAGGCCUUGGGAACGUAGCUCCUCUCGGGGAGUGUUAUAGCCCUCGGUGCAAUGCCGCCUACCGGGACCGAGGACCGCGCUUCGGCUAGGAUGCUGGCGUAAUGGUUG
RNAcentral lists this ribosomal RNA (543 nucleotides) under Cyathicula pallida. Its description in RNAcentral is "eukaryotic LSU rRNA". It matches the Rfam family "Eukaryotic large subunit ribosomal RNA", at positions 83 to 640 of the family's 3401-position model. The record is from RNAcentral. Lineage: Eukaryota; Fungi; Ascomycota; Leotiomycetes; Helotiales; Helotiaceae.